GAUGAACGCUGGCGGCGUGCUUAACACAUGCAAGUCGAACGGACUUUUAAUGAAGCCUAGCGAUUUAAAAGUUAGUGGCGGACGGGUGAGUAACGCGUGGGUAACCUGCCUUAUACAGGGGGAUAACACUUAGAAAUAGGUGCUAAUACCGCAUAAGCGCACAGUAUCGCAUGAUACAGUGUGAAAAACUCCGGUGGUAUAAGAUGGACCCGCGUCUGAUUAGCUAGUUGGUGGGGUAAUGGCUCACCAAGGCGACGAUACGUAGGGGGACUGAGAGGUUAACCCCCCACAUUGGUACUGAGACACGGACCAAACUCCUACGGGAGGCAGCAGUGAGGAAUAUUGGUCAAUGGACGCAAGUCUGAACCAGCCAUGCCGCGUGCAGGAAGACGGCUCUAUGAGUUGUAAAACUGCUUUUUGUAUGAGGGGUAAAAAUUAGGUACGUGUACCUAACUGAAAGUAUCAUACGAAUAAGGAUCGGCUAACUCCGUGCCAGCAGCCGCGGU
RNAcentral lists this ribosomal RNA (506 nucleotides) under uncultured bacterium. Its description in RNAcentral is "bacterial SSU rRNA". It matches the Rfam family "Bacterial small subunit ribosomal RNA", at positions 28 to 521 of the family's 1533-position model. The record is from RNAcentral.